AUACGUAGGGGGCAAGCGUUGUCCGGAAUUACUGGGCGUAAAGAGCUCGUAGGCGGCUCAGCAAGUCGGUCGUGAAAGCCCGAGGCUCAACCUCGGAACUGCGGUCGAUACUGCUGUGGCUAGAGUCCGGUAGAGGAGAGUGGAAUUCCCGGUGUAGCGGUGGAAAGCGCAGAUAUCCGGAGGAACACCAGUGGCGAAGGCGGCUCUCUGGGCCGGUACUGACGCUGAGGAGCGAAAGCGUGGGGAGCAAACAGGAUUAGAAACCCUAGUAGUCC
RNAcentral lists this ribosomal RNA (275 nucleotides) under uncultured bacterium. RNAcentral's name for it is "partial 16S ribosomal RNA". It matches the Rfam family "Bacterial small subunit ribosomal RNA", at positions 523 to 796 of the family's 1533-position model. The record is from RNAcentral.